CCCCUUUGCAAAAUCAUGACCCCCCUUGAUUUUGACAUGGCGCAUUUUUAUUAAAAAAAAUUGCCACCUAUGAUUUUUGUUAUCCAUCUGGAUUUAAAAGUAAUUAUCAGUCCCGUGAGCAUAGCUCAAUUGGUAGGACAAUGCAUUAUUAUAUGCAGGGUCUGGGGUUCGAACCCCAGACACCCCACUUAUUAACCUUAUAAGGUGAAUUCUAGCCACUAGACUAC
This 227-nucleotide long non-coding RNA is filed under the name Medicago truncatula (barrel medic). RNAcentral's name for it is "lncRNA gene21385". Lineage: Eukaryota; Viridiplantae; Streptophyta; Magnoliopsida; Fabales; Fabaceae. The record is from RNAcentral.